This 1809-nucleotide ribosomal RNA is filed under the name human metagenome. Its description in RNAcentral is "bacterial LSU rRNA". It matches the Rfam family "Bacterial large subunit ribosomal RNA", at positions 1191 to 2925 of the family's 2925-position model. The record is from RNAcentral.
AUACCGAAGACAUGGGUCUAUGCAUUAGCAUGGGCGGUAGAGGAGCGUUCCUAUCGGCAGUGAAGCAGCAUUGUAAAGUGUUGUGGAGCGGUAGGAAGUGAGAAUGCUGGAAUGAGUAACCAUAAGAGAGGUGAGAAUCCUCUCGGCCGUAAGAGCAAGGUUUCCUGAGCCAUGGUAAUCAUCUCAGGGUUAGUCGGGCCUAAGCCGAGGCGUAGAGCGUAGGCGAUGGACAUCAGGUUAAUAUUCCUGAACCGGUAUAUACUUGUAUGCUAUUCACGGUGAGAUAUCCGGAGCGGAUUCAUGGUUUAUCCGUCCAACCUCGUGGGAACGCGAAGGGAGUGAAAGUUACCCUUUUGGGUGACGAUUCUGGAAAAGGCGCUGGCAAGAAAAGUAGACAUACGCGUAGUAUAUGCCGCCCGUACCGCAAACCAACACAGGUGCUCGAGUCGAGUAGACUCAGGCUUACGAGAGAACCUUCGCUAAGGAACUCGGCAAUACAGCGACCGUAACUUCGGAAUAAGGUCUGCCCCCACUUCGGUGGAUAUGUUGUCGGUUUCAAAGCUAGCAGGUGUGGUUGAAGAGUAUCUUUAAUACAUCAAUUCUUCUUGAGAUAGAACCAAUAGCUUUUGGAACUGAAGCUCAACGCAUCUAGCGAUGUGGGGGCCGCAGCAAAAGAGCCCACGGAACUGUUUAUCAAAAACACAGCUCUCUGCUAACACGAAAGUGGAUGUAUAGGGGGUGACUCCUGCCCGGUGCUGGAAGGUUAAGGGGAGUGCUUUACGGUGCGAACUGAAGCCCCAGUGAACGGCGGCGGUAACUAUAACCGUCCUAAGGUAGCGAAAUUCCUUGUCAGGUAAGUUCUGACCCGCACGAAUGGAGUAAUCAUGUGGGCACUGUCUCAGCGAAGGACUCGGUGAAAGUGCAUUGGCGGUAAAGAUGCCGUCUGUCCGUACCAGGACGAAAAGACCCCAUGGAGCUUUACUACAGCUUUACAUUGAAUACGGUUUCAACAUGUGUAGCAUAGGUGGGAGAUAUUGAAGCAGAUACGCCAGUAUUUGUGGAGUCACCAAGUGAAAUACCACCCUUGUUGUGAUUGUGUUCUCACGCUGACCGUUAUCCGGUUAGCGGACCGUGUAUGGUGGGUAGUUUAACUGGGGCGGUUGCCUCCUAAAGAGUAGCGGAGGCGUUCAAAGGUUGGCUAACUUCGGAUGGAAAUCGAAGUGAUAGUGUAUGCGCAUAAGCCAGCUUGACUGUGAGGAGUACAUUCCAAUCAGAGACGAAAGUCGGAGCAAGUGACCCGCUGUACGAACAUUUGUUCAUUGAAUGUGGGAUCGACAGCGCACACGGAUAAAAGUUACCCUGGGGAUAACAGGCUUAUAGCGCCCAAUAGUUCACAUAGACGGCGCUGUUUGGCACCUCGAUGUCGGCUCAUCACAUCCUGGAGGGGGAGCACCUUCCAAGGGUUCGGCUGUUCGCCGAUUAAAGUGGUACGCGAGCUGGGUUCAGAACGUCGUGAGACAGUUCGGUUUAUAUCCGGUAUGGACGUCAGGAAAUUUGCGAGGAUUUGCCCCUAGUACGAGAGGACCGGGGUGAACGCACCGCUGGUGUACGGAUUGUGGCCACCUGCUGCAUUGUCCGGUAGCUAUGUGCGGACCAGAUAAGCGCUGAAAGCAUAUUAAGCGCGAAACUGACCUCAAGAUGAGAUUUCCCUAUGAGGGCCGUGAAAGACGAUCACGUUGAUAGGUGCAAGGUGGAAGUGCAGUAAUGCAUGGAGCCGAAGCAUACUAAUCGCCCCAUUGCCUUUUUAUG